RNAcentral lists this ribosomal RNA (371 nucleotides) under uncultured organism. Its description in RNAcentral is "bacterial SSU rRNA". It matches the Rfam family "Bacterial small subunit ribosomal RNA", at positions 526 to 896 of the family's 1533-position model. The record is from RNAcentral.
CAGAGGUCUCAAGCGUUGUUCGGAUUCAUUGGGCGUAAAGGGUGCGUAGGUGGCGUUAUAAGUCAGGUGUGAAAUCUCGGGGCUCAACCCCGAAACUGCACUUGAUACUGUAAUGCUCGAGUACUGGAGAGGAGAUUGGAAUUUACGGUGUAGCAGUGAAAUGCGUAGAUAUCGUAAGGAAGACCAGUGGCGAAGGCGAAUCUCUGGACAGUUACUGACACUGAGGCACGAAGGCCAGGGGAGCAAACGGGAUUAGAUACCCCGGUAGUCCUGGCAGUAAACGGUGCGCGUUUGGUGUGGGAGGAUUCGACCCUUCUGUGCCGGAGCUAACGCGUUAAACGCGCCGCCUGGGGAGUACGGUCGCAAGAUUA